Molecule: non-coding RNA, 378 nt
Organism: Pelobates cultripes (western spadefoot toad)
Lineage: Eukaryota; Metazoa; Chordata; Amphibia; Anura; Pelobatidae
Source: the annotation of a GenBank genome assembly
UGCAUGAGGAUCCCUGGCCACUACUGUGAGCACAUGUCUAAAGUAGUGAUUACACACGUCUUUCUAGCCAUUCCCAUUCAUAUCUGCAAUGGGCACUGUGAUAAGCAGUCAGCUGCCAAUCACAGCCUCCUAUUGCUGCUCAAGCUAAUACUUCCUCAUUAACCUGAACAGCACAGAGGGAAUAAGUUUCAGGGGACUCUUGUGUGGCAUUACAACCAGUUUAGCUCUGACUGAAAAGAUGGUGUAAAUGGAUGGCAGACACUACAAUCACGUCAAUGAAAUAAAGAAGUUACAGUGCCUACAGUGUCCCUUUAAAAACAACCAACAAACUGGAGAAUACAGCUGUAUAUCUACAAAAAGAAAAUAGAAAACAACAAU